UGGGGAAUCUUCCGCAAUGGACGAAAGUCUGACGGAGCAACGCCGCGUGAGUGAAGAAGGUUUUCGGAUCGUAAAACUCUGUCUUUUGGGGCGAACGUGAGUAUGGUGAACAAUCAUAGUCAGUGACGGUACCAAAGGAGGAAGCCACGGCUAACUACGUGCCAGCAGCCGCGGUAAUACGUAGGUGGCAAGCGUUGUCCGGAAUUAUUGGGCGUAAAGAGCGCGUAGGCGGGAUAGUCAGUCUGUUGUAAAGUGCGGGGCUCAACCCCGUGAUCGCAAUGGAAACAGCUAUUCUUGAGUGCAGGAGAGGAAAGUGGAAUUCCCAGUGUAGCGGUGAAAUGCGUAGAUAUUGGGAGGAACACCAGUGGCGAAGGCGACUUUCUGGACUGUGUCUGACGCUGAGGCGCGAAAGCCAGGGGAGCGAACGGGAUUAGAUACCCCGGUAGUCCUGGCCGUAAACGAUGGGUACUAGGUGUGGGAGGUAUCGACCCCUUCCGUGCCGGAGUUAACGCAAUAAGUACCCCGCCUGGGGAGUACGGUCGCAAGACUGAAACUCAAAGGAAUUGACGGGGUCAUAGCUGUUUCC
Molecule: ribosomal RNA, 586 nt
Filed under: uncultured bacterium
Lineage: Bacteria
Description: partial 16S ribosomal RNA
Rfam family: Bacterial small subunit ribosomal RNA
Source: RNAcentral